This 375-nucleotide unclassified non-coding RNA is filed under the name plant metagenome. Its description in RNAcentral is "partial contains 5.8S ribosomal RNA, internal transcribed spacer 2, and large subunit ribosomal RNA". The stretch from base 1 to 107 matches the Rfam family "5.8S ribosomal RNA", at positions 50 to 154 of the family's 154-position model. The record is from RNAcentral.
AAAAUGCGAUACUUGGUGUGAAUUGCAGAAUCCCGUGAACCAUCGAGUUUUUGAACGCAAGUUGCGCCCGAAGCCAUCCGGCUGAGGGCACGCCUGCCUGGGCGUCACGCAUCGCGUCGCUCCCCACUAUACCUCCCCAACGGGUUGGCAUGGUGUUGGGGGCGGAUAAUGGCCUCCCGUGCUUGUGUUUCGGUUGGCCUAAAUAAGAGUUCCCUUCGGCGGACACACGACUAGUGGUGGUUGAAUAGACCCUCGUCUUUUGUUGCGUGUCGUGAGCUGUAAGGGUAGCCCUCAUCAAAGACCCCAUUGUAUCGUCUUCGGAUGAUGCUUCGACCGCGACCCCAGGUCAGGCGGGACUACCCGCUGAGUUUAAGC